CCUACGGGGGGCAGCAGUGAGGAAUAUUGGUCAAUGGACGCGAGCCUGAACCAGCCAAGUAGCGUGAAGGAUGACUGCCCUACGGGUUGUAAACUUCUUUUAUAAAGGAAUAAAGUGAGGCACGUGUGCCUUUUUGUAUGUACUUUAUGAAUAAGGAUCGGCUAACUCCGUGCCAGCAGCCGCGGUAAUACGGAGGAUGCGAGCGUUAUCCGGAUUUAUUGGGUUUAAAGGGUGCGCAGGCGGAGGCACAAGUCAGCGGUAAAAUCGCGGGGCUCAACCCCGCUCCGCCGUUGAAACUGUGUCCC
This 305-nucleotide ribosomal RNA is filed under the name uncultured bacterium. RNAcentral describes it as "bacterial SSU rRNA". It matches the Rfam family "Bacterial small subunit ribosomal RNA", at positions 338 to 641 of the family's 1533-position model. The record is from RNAcentral.